Molecule: transfer RNA, 67 nt
Filed under: Bithynia leachii
Lineage: Eukaryota; Metazoa; Mollusca; Gastropoda; Littorinimorpha; Bithyniidae
Description: tRNA-Ile
Source: RNAcentral
AGUAUCACGCCGGAUGAACGGAAAUCAUUGAUGUUGAUUAACAUGGGAUAAGUAUUCUCUGAUACUA